GGAUCCAGACUUUGAUUCUGGCUCAGGAUGAACGCUAGCUACAGGCUUAACACAUGCAAGUCGAGGGGAAACGACAUCGAAAGCUUGCUUUUGAUGGGCGUCGACCGGCGCACGGGUGAGUAACGCGUAUCCAACCUGCCCAUCACUUGGGAUAACCUUGCGAAAGUAAGACUAAUACCCAAUGACGUCUCUAGAAGACAUCUGAAAGAGAUUAAAGAUUUAUCGGUGAUGGAUGGGGAUGCGUCUGAUUAGCUUGUUGGCGGGGUAACGGCCCACCAAGGCAACGAUCAGUAGGGGUUCUGAGAGGAAGGUCCCCCACAUUGGAACCGAGACACGGUCCAAACUCCUACGGGAGGCAGCAGUGAGGAAUAUUGGUCAAUGGGCGAGAGCCUGAACCAGCCAAGUAGCGUGCAGGAUGACGGCCCUAUGGGUUGUAAACUGCUUUUAUAAGGGAAUAAAGUGAGUCUCGUGAGACUUUUUGCAUGUACCUUAUGAAUAAGGACCGGCUAAUUCCGUGCCAGCAGCCGCGGUAAUACGGAAGGUCCGGGCGUUAUCCGGAUCUAUCGGGUUUAAAGGGAGCGUAGGCCGGAGAUUAAGCGUGUUGUGAAAUGUAGACGCUCAACGUCUGCACUGCAGCGCGAACUGGUUUCCUUGAGUACGCACAAAGUGGGCGGAAUUCGUGGUGUAGCGGUGAAAUGCUUAGAUAUCACGAAGAACUCCGAUUGCGAAGGCAGCUCACUGGAGCGCAACUGACGCUGAAGCUCGAAAGUGCGGGUAUCGAACAGGAUUAGAUACCCUGGUAGUCCGCACGGUAAACGAUGGAUGCCCGCUGUUGGUCUGAAUAGGUCAGCGGCCAAGCGAAAGCAUUAAGCAUCCCACCUGGGGAGUACGCCGGCAACGGUGCAACUCAAAGGAAUUGACGG
This 923-nucleotide ribosomal RNA is filed under the name uncultured Bacteroidota bacterium. RNAcentral's name for it is "bacterial SSU rRNA". It matches the Rfam family "Bacterial small subunit ribosomal RNA", at positions 1 to 916 of the family's 1533-position model. The record is from RNAcentral. Lineage: Bacteria; Pseudomonadati; Bacteroidota.